Molecule: ribosomal RNA, 494 nt
Filed under: uncultured bacterium
Lineage: Bacteria
Description: partial 16S ribosomal RNA
Rfam family: Bacterial small subunit ribosomal RNA
Source: RNAcentral
GAUGAACGCUGGCGGCGUGCUUAACACAUGCAAGUCGAGCGAAGCGAUUUUAAGGAAGCCUUCGGGUGGAAUUAAAAUCGACUUAGCGGCGGACGGGUGAGUAACGCGUGGGUAACCUGCCUCAUACAGGGGGAUAACAGUUAGAAAUGACUGCUAAUACCGCAUAAGCGCACAGUGCUGCAUAGCACAGUGUGAAAAACUCCGGUGGUAUGAGAUGGACCCGCGUCUGAUUAGGUAGUUGGUGAGGUAACGGCCCACCAAGCCGACGAUCAGUAGCCGACCUGAGAGGGUGACCGGCCACAUUGGGACUGAGACACGGCCCAAACUCCUACGGGAGGCAGCAGUGGGGAAUAUUGGACAAUGGGGGAAACCCUGAUCCAGCGACGCCGCGUGACUGAAGAAGUAUUUCGGUAUGUAAAGGUCUAUCAGCAGGGAAGAAAAUGACGGUACCUGACUAAGAAGCCCGGCUAACUACGUGCCAGCAGCCGCGGUAA